CGGGGAAUUUUGGACAAUGGGCGCAAGCCUGAUCCAGCCAUGCCGCGUGCGGGAAGAAGGCCUUCGGGUUGUAAACCGCUUUUGUCAGGGAAGAAAUCUUCUGAGUUAAUACCUCGGGAGGAUGACGGUACCUGAAGAAUAAGCACCGGCUAACUACGUGCCAGCAGCCGCGGUAAUACGUAGGGUGCAAGCGUUAAUCGGAAUUACUGGGCGUAAAGCGUGCGCAGGCGGUUUUGUAAGACAGAGGUGAAAUCCCCGGGCUCAACCUGGGAACUGCCUUUGUGACUGCAAGGCUUGAGUGCGGCAGAGGGGGGAUGGAAUUCCGCGUGUAGCGUGAAAUGCGUAGAUAUGCGGAGGAACACCGAUGGCGAAGGCAAUCCCCU
This 383-nucleotide ribosomal RNA is filed under the name uncultured bacterium. RNAcentral's name for it is "partial 16S ribosomal RNA". It matches the Rfam family "Bacterial small subunit ribosomal RNA", at positions 355 to 730 of the family's 1533-position model. The record is from RNAcentral.